This 1979-nucleotide ribosomal RNA is filed under the name human oral metagenome. RNAcentral's name for it is "bacterial LSU rRNA". It matches the Rfam family "Bacterial large subunit ribosomal RNA", at positions 1 to 1980 of the family's 2925-position model. The record is from RNAcentral.
UAAAAUAAUUAAGGGCACACAAAGGAUGCCUAGGUAGUAAGAGCCGAUGAAGGACGUGGUAAGCUGCGAUAAGCCUAGAUAAGUUGCAAUCGAACGUAAGAGUCUAGGAUUUCCGAAUGGAGCAAUCUAUUAAGAUGGAGUCUUAAUACGAAAGAGGGAACCGCGUGAACUGAAACAUCUAAGUAACGCGAGGAAAAGAAAGUAAAAACGAUACCCAAAGUAGCGGCGAGCGAAAUGGGUCAAGCCUAAACCUUAAAUAUGUCAAGGAUACAGCCGUUGUAUUUAAGGGGUUGUGGGACAGAGUGAUGAAGAACUGUAAGAUAUUCAAUAUAGUGUAUUGAUGAAUUAGAAUUGUCUGGAAAGGUGAACCGUAGAAGGUGAAAGUCCUGUAUAAGUAAAUCCUUACACAUAUAACUUUGCUCCCAAGUAACAUGGAACACGAGGAAUUCUGUGUGAAUCUGUGAGGACCAUAUCUCAUAAGGCUAAAUACUCUUACUAACCGAUAGCGCAUAGUACCGUGAGGGAAAGGUGAAAAGAACCCCUGGAGGGGAGUGAAAUAGAACCUGAAAUUGUGUGCUUACAAGCGGUCAGAGCCCAUUUGGGUGAUGGCGUGCCUUUUGGAGAAUGAUCCUGCGAGUUACGUUAAACGGCGAGGUUAAGUAUAACGGAGCCGAAGGGAAACCAAGUCUUAAUAGGGCGAUUUAGUCGUUUGGCGUAGACGCGAAACCUGGUGAUCUAAACCUGUCCAGGAUGAAGCUGUGGUAAGACACAGUGGAGGUCCUAACCCACCGCCGUUGAAAAGUUGGGGGAUGAGGUAGGUUUAGGGGUGAAAAGCCAAUCGAACCAGGAGAUAGCUCGUUCUCUCCGAAAUGCAUCUAGGUGCAGCCUUGAGUGUUCAAUUAUGGGGGUAGAGCACUGAAUGAUCUAGGGGGCAUAUUGCUUACUGAAAUCAAUCAAACUCCGAAUACCAUAAUUUAUAGCUCAGGAGUGAGACUAUGGGAGUUAACUUCCAUUGUCAAAAGGGAAACAACCCAGACCACCAGCUAAGGUCCCUAAUUAUAACUAAGUGGGAAAGGAGGUGGAGAUUCACAAACAACUAGGAGGUUGGCUUAGAAGCAGCCAUACCUUUAAAGAGUGCGUAAUAGCUCACUAGUCGAGAGUCUCUGCGCCGACAAUGUAACGGGGCUAAGUUAUAAACCGAAGCUGUGGAAUCCGUAAGGAUUGGUAGGAGAGCGUUCUGUAGGCCGUUGAAGAAGAAGGGUAACCAACUUUGGAGGUAUCAGAAGUGAGAAUGCAGGAAUAAGUAGCGAGAAAGGGGGCGAGAAUCCCCCUCGCCGGAAGACCAAGGUUUUCAGGGUAAAGCUUGUCUUCCCUGAGUAAGCCGGGACCUAAGCCCAGGCUAUAAUGCGUAGGCGAAUGGAAAACAGAUUAAUAUUUCUGUGCCAGUCAUUUAUUGUGAUGGAGGGACGCAGAAGGGUAUGCGCGCGGACGAUCGGUUGUGUCCGUAGAAGUAUGUAGGAUGACUUAGUAGGUAAAUCCAUUAAGUUAUAUCUGAGGUAUGAUAUACAGUCGUAAGAUGAAUGUGCAAAUCCCACGCUGCCAAGAAAAGCUUCUAACGUUAAUAUAUGACUGCCCGUACUGUAAACCGACACAGGUGGUCAGGAUGAGAAAUCUAAGGCGGACAGGCUAACUCUCGUUAAGGAACUCUGCAAAAUAACCUCGUAACUUCGGGAGAAGAGGAGCCCUUGAGUGUUAGUAUCCAUGCGAUACAAAGCGCUCGAGGGUCGCAGUGAAGAGGCUCAAGCAACUGUUUAACAAAAACACAGGUCUAUGCUAAGCUGGAAGGCGAUGUAUAUGGGCUGACACCUGCCCAGUGCUGGAAGGUUAAGAGGAGGAGUGAGAGCUCCGAAUUGAAGCCCCAGUGAACGGCGGCCGUAACUAUAACGGUCCUAAGGUAGCGAAAUUCCUUGUCGGGUAAG